This 1094-nucleotide long non-coding RNA is filed under the name Equus caballus (horse). RNAcentral describes it as "lncRNA (ENSECAG00000059325.1)". The record is from RNAcentral. Lineage: Eukaryota; Metazoa; Chordata; Mammalia; Perissodactyla; Equidae.
UGCAUAAGGUGUUGGAAAACAUUAUAUAGACAUGAAAGAACUAGACAGUAAAAAGUGCAAAUUACAUGUUUUUAAAUGGAUGGUAUUCAGAAAAAUCCAGCAGAUAAAGGUGAAGAAUGGGGGCUGGCCCUGUGGCCAAGUGGUUAAGUUCAUGUGCUCCGCUGCAGGCGGCCCAGUGUUUCGUUGGUUUGAAUCCCGGGUGCGGACAUGGCACUGCUCACCAAGCCACGCUGAGGCAGCGUCCCACAUGCCACAACUAGAAGGACCCACAACAAAGAAUCUACAACUAUGUACUGGGGGGCUUUGGGGAGAAAAAGGAAAAAUAAAAUCUUUCAAAAAAAAAGGUGAAGAAUGGUGAGGAAAAGAGUAAACUAUUAUGUGUGUGUCUAAUUAUUUUUUUAUCUUUUCAGUUUUGUUCUUUUCUCAGUCUGAACUAUUCUACUUCUGGGAGAAAAAUAAAACCAAAGGAUUCGUAUAGGAUCUUCUCUAGGAAAUGAAUCUAUGGAUUUCCUGAUUUGAAGGGCAGGGCUUCUAAUCUAGUGUGGUGUCUACUAGUCUUCAAGGGAAAAGAAAAGCCAGAAGAGCUGACCAUUGUCCCUAAGGGACUGGCAUUGGAAAUGCACUAAACAUCGGCCAGGGUGUGACGAGUGCUACUUAUGUUUCCUUCCUUACGCAUGUCCUGUCCCAUGGAAUGCAUUUUCCAAUGGCUCAAGUCUGUGACAGUUAAUGCAGAAUUUUGUGGAGUAUAAGCUUCUGAACUGAGAAGUCUAUCUAAUUUAAAAGUAUGGAACUCAGAGCUGGGAGAAACCUUAGAAAGUAUCUGACGUUUUAUUUUACAGGUGAGAAAACCGAGGUCCUGAGAGCAUAAUUAACUUGAUGAAAGUCUAAUGAUGCCAAUACUAAAGGCAACAAAACAAAACAAAGCACCAAAAACCAGCAUUCUGAUUAGCAGUCUGGGGCUUUGCAGUACACCUUCCUAUAACUGAUGUAAUUUACUACUCCCUCUGCUGUGUCUGAACCUCUGUAAGGGAUUUCCAUGUUAGGUGUCUUGUUUUUAUGGGAUACAUACUAAGAGAGAAUAGCAGUAGUUGAAC